UCUACUAGGAAUUACUCAGGUGGUAGAUUUGUAGGUGGGGGAGAUCGUAAGACCAAGAACUCGAAUAGUAACGCAGGGACGCAAGAUUUAGACAGGUUCGGACCUCCGGAGAGUAAUACCCUACGUCCUGUGUUCUGGGGGAUUGUAUUGCUGAUUGCGGGUGCGAAGAGUUAAUGUGCCGUGGGGGACGCUCCUGGCCGCCUUAUAUAGACUGACGACCUAAGGUUACAAGCGGAUACGAUCUAAUCCUAGUUGGUUGUUAC
RNAcentral lists this long non-coding RNA (263 nucleotides) under Setaria viridis. Its description in RNAcentral is "long non-coding RNA (SVIR_LNC010402)". Lineage: Eukaryota; Viridiplantae; Streptophyta; Magnoliopsida; Poales; Poaceae. The record is from RNAcentral.